RNAcentral lists this ribosomal RNA (463 nucleotides) under uncultured bacterium. Its description in RNAcentral is "partial 16S ribosomal RNA". It matches the Rfam family "Bacterial small subunit ribosomal RNA", at positions 28 to 507 of the family's 1533-position model. The record is from RNAcentral.
GACGAACGCUGGCGGCGUGCUUAACACAUGCAAGUCGAACGGAAAGGCCUUUUCGGAGGUACUCGAGUGGCGAACGGGUGAGUAACACGUGGGUGAUCUGCCCUGCACUCUGGGAUAAGCCUGGGAAACUGGGUCUAAUACCGGAUAGGACCGCACUUUAGUGUGUGUGGUGGAAAGUUUUUUCGGUGUAGGAUGAGCCCGCGGCCUAUCAGCUUGUUGGUGGGGUAAUGGCCUACCAAGGCGGCGACGGGUAGCCGGACUGAGAGGUUGGUCGGCCACAUUGGGACUGAGAUACGGCCCAGACUCCUACGGGAGGCAGCAGGGGGGAAUAUUGCACAAGGGGCGCAAGCCUGAUGCAGCGACGCCGCGGGGGGGAUGACGGCCUUCGGGUUGUAAACGCCUUUCGCCAGGGACGAAGCGUUUUGUGACGGUACCUGGAGAAGAAGCACCGGCUAACUACGUG